UACGGAGGGUGCAAGCGUUGUUCGGAAUUAUUGGGCGUAAAGCGCGCGCAGGCGGCCCGUUAAGUCUGAUGUGAAAACCCUCGGCUCAACCGAGGACGUGCAUUGGAUACUGGGGGGCUUGAGUCUCGGAGAGGAAAGCGGAAUUCCCAGUGUAGAGGUGAAAUUCGUAGAUAUUGGGAGGAACACCGGUGGCGAAGGCGGCUUUCUGGACGAUGACUGACGCUGAGGCGCGAAAGCGUGGGUAGCAAACAGG
RNAcentral lists this ribosomal RNA (253 nucleotides) under uncultured bacterium. Its description in RNAcentral is "partial 16S ribosomal RNA". It matches the Rfam family "Bacterial small subunit ribosomal RNA", at positions 524 to 776 of the family's 1533-position model. The record is from RNAcentral.